This 254-nucleotide ribosomal RNA is filed under the name uncultured bacterium. Its description in RNAcentral is "partial 16S ribosomal RNA". It matches the Rfam family "Bacterial small subunit ribosomal RNA", at positions 524 to 776 of the family's 1533-position model. The record is from RNAcentral.
UACAUGGGGUGCAAACGUUGCUCGGAAUUAUUGGGCGUAAAGCGCGCGUAGGCGGUUAUCUAAGUCGGAUGUGAAAGCCCUCGGCUUAACUGAGGAAGUGCACCCGAAACUGGAUAGCUAGAGUACGAAAGAGGGUCGCGGAAUUCCCGGUGUAGAGGUGAAAAUUCGUAGAUAUUGGGAAGAACACCGGUGGCGAAGGCGGCGCUCUGGACCGAGACUGACGCUGAGGCGCGAAAGCGUGGGGAGCGAACAGG